Molecule: long non-coding RNA, 673 nt
Organism: Triticum aestivum (bread wheat)
Lineage: Eukaryota; Viridiplantae; Streptophyta; Magnoliopsida; Poales; Poaceae
Exons: 4
Source: RefSeq, a predicted model, not a curated record
GGACCAGAGGAAGAAGGGCAAGGGAGAUGGGGCGAUGUGCAUGUCCAUGGAGGGGGAAAUUCUAAUUUCUUUACAGCGGUGUUUGAACAAAAUGGCAUAUUCCGUGGGCUGGAUGAUAGAAGGACAUUUUGUUGAAGCACUCAAGAGGAGUAAUACUAUUGUGAUGCCAACACAUGGUCCUACUUAUUACCCCAUGGUAUGUGUAAUGCCGAUUGCCUCCUAGGCAGCUGUAAGUGUGAGGCCUUAUUACCUCCAACGUCCAGCAACGACACAGUUUAGAGAUAAACGGCAGUCCAUGAUAUGAAUAAACUAAGGGGAGCUUCCUGUUGCUGCUACUGAAGUGGCAAGGCGGACUAGGAGCAAUGUCUUUGAGUACAUACAGAUUUUUGCACGAGUGUGAGCAUGAGUCAAUGGCGACCCCCAGUGGCGGACAUGGUUAAAGUCAACCUUGAUGGAUCCUUUGUAUCAGGUGAUAUGCAUGCCGGCUGGAAGGUGGUUGCUAGAUCCUCAGACUGCAUCAUUGUUUGUGCCCACACCGGUCGCUAGGAGAAUGUCAAGGACGUGUUCACUGCUGAAUCAUGUGCCAUGUCCCAUACUGUCUCGCUUGCUGCUGAUCUAGGGAUGUCCUGGUGGUAUUUGAGACGGAUCCAUAGCUUCUACAGGAAGCACUUGA